GUUCUCCUUUGCUACUCUUUCUUCUUGGGACACUCACAAUGACAUUGCAGAAAUGAAGGACCCAAUCAUUUUUUAAGCGGGUAAGCUUAAUCUUUUACUUUUCUGCCUUCUUGUCCAAUUCGAUAUGCUGGUAUAUGGUAUAUGGCUUUUGUUUAAACUAUAUGGUGCUGAAACUCUUUAUUA
Humulus lupulus (European hop) is the source of this 183-nucleotide long non-coding RNA. RefSeq lists it as uncharacterized. The transcript is spliced from 2 exons. Lineage: Eukaryota; Viridiplantae; Streptophyta; Magnoliopsida; Rosales; Cannabaceae. The record is from RefSeq and is a predicted model, not a curated record.